This 301-nucleotide ribosomal RNA is filed under the name uncultured bacterium. RNAcentral describes it as "partial 16S ribosomal RNA". It matches the Rfam family "Bacterial small subunit ribosomal RNA", at positions 509 to 807 of the family's 1533-position model. The record is from RNAcentral.
CAGUAGCCGCGGUAAUACGAAGGGGGCUAGCGUUGCUCGGAAUUACUGGGCGUAAAGGGAGCGUAGGCGGAUGAAUUAGUCAGGGGUGAAAUCCCGGGGCUCAACCUCGGAACUGCCUUUGAUACUGUUCAUCUUGAGUAUGGGAGAGGUGUGUGGAACUCCGAGUGUAGAGGUGAAAUUCGUAGAUAUUCGGAAGAACACCAGUGGCGAAGGCGACACACUGGCCCAUUACUGACGCUGAGGCUCGAAAGCGUGGGGAGCAAACAGGAUUAGAUACCCGGGUAGUCCCUGUCUCUUAUAC